This 508-nucleotide ribosomal RNA is filed under the name uncultured bacterium. RNAcentral's name for it is "bacterial SSU rRNA". It matches the Rfam family "Bacterial small subunit ribosomal RNA", at positions 29 to 533 of the family's 1533-position model. The record is from RNAcentral.
AACAAACGCUGGCGGCGUGUCUUAAGCAUGCAAGUUGAGCGGCAAGGAGGAGAGAUCCUCCCUAGAGCGGCGGACUGGUGAGUAACGCGUGGGUAAUCUAUCGUAGGCAUGGGGAUAGUCACUAGAAAUAGUGGGUAAUACCGAAUACGUUCCAUGAGGGGAGUACUUAUGGAAGAAAGGGUGCUACGGCACUGGCCUUAGGUGAGCUCGCGUCCCAUUAGCUGGUUGGUGAGGUAAAGGCCCACCAAGGCGAUGAUGGGUAGCCGGCCUGAGAGGGUGUACGGCCACACUGGUACUGAGACACGGACCAGACUCCUACGGGAGGCAGCAGUGAGGAAUAUUGGUCAAUGGGCGAAAGCCUGAUGCAGCGACGCCGCGUGAGGGAUGACGGCCUGGUUGUAACGUACUUCUAGCAGGAAGGAAGACGAAGUAGACGGUACCGUACGCGAGAAGAAGACACCGGCCGUAACUAACCGUGCCGACGACACGCCGCGGUAACGUAAGUGUG